GAUGAACGCUGGCGGCGUGCCUAAUACAUGCAAGUCGAGCGAACGGACGAGAAGCUUGCUUUUCUGAUGUUAGCGGCGGACGGGUGAGUAACACGUGGAUAACCUACCUAUAAGACUGGGAUAACUUCGGGAAACCGGAGCUAAUACCGGAUAAUAUUUUGAACCGCAUGGUUCAAAAGUGAAAGACGGUCUUGCUGUCACUUAUAGAUGGAUCCGCGCUGCAUUAGCUAGUUGGUAAGGUAACGGCUUACCAAGGCAACGAUGCAUAGCCGACCUGAGAGGGUGAUCGGCCACACGGGAACUGAGACACGGUCCAGACUCCUACGGGAGGCAGCAGUAGGGAAUCUUCCGAAAUGGGCGAAAGCCUGACGGAGCAACGCCGCGUGAGUGAUGAAGGUCUUCGGAUCGAAAAACUCUUUUAUUAGGGAAGAACAUAUGUGUAAGUAACUGUGCACAUCUUGACGGUACCUAAUCAGAAAGCCCCGGCUAACUACG
This 495-nucleotide ribosomal RNA is filed under the name uncultured bacterium. RNAcentral describes it as "partial 16S ribosomal RNA". It matches the Rfam family "Bacterial small subunit ribosomal RNA", at positions 28 to 505 of the family's 1533-position model. The record is from RNAcentral.